RNAcentral lists this ribosomal RNA (700 nucleotides) under uncultured Gammaproteobacteria bacterium. Its description in RNAcentral is "bacterial SSU rRNA". It matches the Rfam family "Bacterial small subunit ribosomal RNA", at positions 94 to 790 of the family's 1533-position model. The record is from RNAcentral. Lineage: Bacteria; Pseudomonadati; Pseudomonadota; Gammaproteobacteria.
AGUGGCGGACGGGUGAGUAAUGUAUAGGGAUCUGCCUGACAGUGGGGGACAACAGCCGGAAACGGCUGCUAAUACCGCAUACGCUCUACGGAGGAAAGUGGGGGACCUUCGGGCCUCACGCUGACAGAUGAACCUAUAUCAGAUUAGCUAGUUGGUGGGGUAAAGGCCUACCAAGGCGACGAUCUGUAGCUGGUCUGAGAGGAUGAUCAGCCACACUGGGACUGAGACACGGCCCAGACUCCUACGGGAGGCAGCAGUGGGGAAUAUUGGACAAUGGGGGCAACCCUGAUCCAGCAAUGCCGCGUGUGUGAAGAAGGCCUUCGGGUUGUAAAGCACUUUCAAUAGGGAGGAAAAGCUGUGCGUUAAUAGCGUACAGCCGUGACGUUACCUAUAGAAGAAGCACCGGCUAACUCCGUGCCAGCAGCCGCGAUAAUACGGAGGGUGCAAGCGUUAAUCGGAAUUACUGGGCGUAAAGCGCGCGUAGGCGGUUUGUUAAGUCAGAUGUGAAAUCCCCGGGCUCAACCUGGGAAUGGCAUUUGAGACUGGCAGGCUAGAAUGUGGUAGAGGUGAGUGGAAUUCCAGGUGUAGCGGUGAAAUGCGUAGAGAUCUGGAGGAACAUCAGUGGCGAAGGCGACUCACUGGGCCAUUAUUGACGCUGAGGUGCGAAAGCGUGGGUAGCAAACAGGAUUAGAUACCCUGG